RNAcentral lists this microRNA (18 nucleotides) under Callorhinchus milii (elephant shark). RNAcentral's name for it is "eshark_NOVEL_32". Lineage: Eukaryota; Metazoa; Chordata; Chondrichthyes; Chimaeriformes; Callorhinchidae. The record is from RNAcentral.
UUUGAGGCUGCAGCGUCA